RNAcentral lists this ribosomal RNA (424 nucleotides) under uncultured bacterium. RNAcentral's name for it is "partial 16S ribosomal RNA". It matches the Rfam family "Bacterial small subunit ribosomal RNA", at positions 360 to 776 of the family's 1533-position model. The record is from RNAcentral.
AAUAUUGGACAAUGGGCGAAAGCCUGAUCCAGCCAUGCCGCGUUUGUUAAGAAGAACUUCGGAAUGUAAAGCACGUUAAUUCGGGAGGAAGGGUUGUAGAUUAAUACUCUGCAAUUUUGACGUUACCGACAGAAUAAGCACCUGCUAACUCCGUGCCAUCAGCCGAGGUACUACGAAGGGUCCAAGCGUUAAGCGGAAUUAUUGGGCGGAAAGCACGCGUAGGUGGUUCGUUAAGUUGGAUGUGAAAGCCCCGGGCUCAACCUGGGCACUGCAUCCAAAACUGGCGAGCUAGAGUACGGUAGAGGGUGGUGGAAUUUCAUGUGUAGCGGUGAGAUACGUAGAUAUAGGAAGGAACAUCAGUGGCGAAGGCGACCACCUGGGCUAAUACUGACACUGAGGUGCGAAAGCGUGGGGAGCAAACAGG